Molecule: ribosomal RNA, 290 nt
Filed under: uncultured bacterium
Lineage: Bacteria
Description: partial 16S ribosomal RNA
Rfam family: Bacterial small subunit ribosomal RNA
Source: RNAcentral
UCCGUCCUACGGGACGCAGCAGUGGGGAAUAUUGCGCAAUGGGGGAAACCCUGACGCAGCAACGCCGCGUGCGGGAUGAAGGCUUUCGGGUUGUAAACCGCUUUCAGCAGGGAAGAUAAUGACGGUACCUGCAGAAGAAGCCCCGGCUAACUACGUGCCAGCAGCCGCGGUAAUACGGAGGAUGCGAGCGUUAUCCGGAUUUAUUGGGUUUAAAGGGUGCGCAGGCGGUCUGUUAAGUCAGCGGUCAAAGCCCGGGGCUCAACCCCGGCCCGCCGUUGAAACUGGCAGUC